GAGUUUGAUCGUGGCUCAGAUUGAACGCUGGCGGAAUGCUUUACACAUGCAAGUCGAGCGGCAGCGCGGGCAACCUGGCGGCGAGCGGCGAACGGGUGAGUAAUGCAUCGGAACAUGUCCAAGUCGUGGGGGAUAGCCGGCGAAAGCCGGAUUAAUACCGCAUGUGCCCGAGAGGGGGAAAGUAGGGGGGACCGCAAGGCCUCACGACGAUUGGGUUGGCCGAUGUCCGAUUAGCUAGUUGGCGGGGUAAGAGCCCACCAAGGCGAUGAUCGGUAGCUGGUCUGAGAGGAUGAUCAGCCA
This 300-nucleotide ribosomal RNA is filed under the name uncultured beta proteobacterium. RNAcentral describes it as "bacterial SSU rRNA". It matches the Rfam family "Bacterial small subunit ribosomal RNA", at positions 9 to 310 of the family's 1533-position model. Lineage: Bacteria; Pseudomonadati; Pseudomonadota; Betaproteobacteria. The record is from RNAcentral.